RNAcentral lists this ribosomal RNA (253 nucleotides) under uncultured bacterium. Its description in RNAcentral is "partial 16S ribosomal RNA". It matches the Rfam family "Bacterial small subunit ribosomal RNA", at positions 524 to 776 of the family's 1533-position model. The record is from RNAcentral.
UUCGUAGGGUGCAAGCGUUAAUCGGAAUUACUGGGCGUAAAGCGUGCGCAGGCGGCUUUGCAAGACAGAUGUGAAAUCCCCGGGCUUAACCUGGGAACUGCAUUUGUGACUGCAUGGCUGGAGUGCGGCAGAGGGGGAUGGAAUUCCGCGUGUAGCAGUGAAAUGCGUAGAUAUGUGGAGGAAUACCGAUGGCGAAGGCAGCCCCCUGGGAUAACACUGACGCUCAUGCACGAAAGCGUGGGGAGCAAACAGG